GUGACUGUUCCUGGUAUAGAUUGCAUUGUGAGUUGUACAGUGCAACCACAGGCAGUCACACACAUCAAAACACAUGGUUCCUGCCGACAGGAUCUGUACAGUGAUCAGAUUUUCUGUGCGAUGGUUCCGUACAUU
This 135-nucleotide small nucleolar RNA is filed under the name Procavia capensis (Cape rock hyrax). The record is from RNAcentral. Lineage: Eukaryota; Metazoa; Chordata; Mammalia; Hyracoidea; Procaviidae.